GAUGAAGAACGUAGCGAAAUGCGAUAAGUAAUGUGAAUUGCAGAAUUCAGUGAAUCAUCGAAUCUUUGAACGCACAUUGCGCCCGCCAGUAUUCUGGCGGGCAUGCCUGUUCGAGCGUCAUUACAACCCUCAGGCCCCCGGGCCUGGCGUUGGGGAUCGGCGGAAGCCCCCUGCGGGCACAACGCCGUCCCCCAAAUACAGUGGCGGUCCCGCCGCAGCUUCCAUUGCGUAGUAGCUAACACCUCGCAACUGGAGAGCGGUGCGGCCACGCCGUAAAACACCCAACUUCUGAAUGUUGACCUCGAAUCAGGUAGGAAUACCCGCUGAACUUAAGCAUAUCAAUAAGCGGAGGA
RNAcentral lists this unclassified non-coding RNA (353 nucleotides) under soil metagenome. Its description in RNAcentral is "partial contains 5.8S ribosomal RNA, internal transcribed spacer 2, and large subunit ribosomal RNA". The stretch from base 1 to 120 matches the Rfam family "5.8S ribosomal RNA", at positions 35 to 154 of the family's 154-position model. The record is from RNAcentral.